GGGUCCCAGGGGGGUCCCCAGGCCGGGGGUCCGCUCUCACCGCGCAGCAGAGCCCUCACGAAGCGCCCGGCUCCCGGCACCGCCAGCCACCAACUCCCGGCAUCGCGCACGGUCAGGAGCCCCGCGGCCACCAGAGCCCUGCUGGGGCCACCAGAACCCGGCUGGGGCCACCAGAGCCCUGCCGGGGCCACCAAAACCCGGCUGUGGCCACCAAAACCCGGCUGUGGCCACCAAAACCCGGCUGUGGCCACCAAAACCCGGCUGGGGCCACCAAAACCCGGCUGGGGCCACCAAAACCCUGCUGUGGCCACCAAAACCCAGCCAUGGCCACCAGAACCCGGCUGUGGCCACCAGAACCCGGCUGGGGCCACCAAAACCCGGCUGUGGCCACCAGAGCCCUGCUGGGGCCACCAAAACCCUGCUGGGGCCACCAAAACACGGCUGUGGCCACCAAAGCCUGGCUGUGGCCAUCAGAACCUGGCUGUGGCUACCAGAACCCGGCUGUGGCCACCAGAACCCGGCUGUGGCCACCAGAACCCCCCAGAGCCACCCUGGGGGUCCCAAACCCCACCCUGGGCUGUCCCCAGGUCCCCCCAGGUGUCCCCAUGACCCCCAGGUGUCCCCAGGUGUGUUCCAGGUGUGUUUUUGGUGUCCCCAGGUGUCCCCAGGUGAGGUUUUGGUGUCCCCAGGUGUCCCCAGGUGAGGUUUGGGGUGUCCCAGGUGUGUUUUUGGUGUCCCCAGGUGUCCCCAGGUGUGUCCCAGGUGUGUUUUUGGUGUCCCCAGGUGUCCCCAGGCGUCCCUUACGUCACAUCCCUGUCCCCAGCUGUCCCCAGAUGUGUCUCAGGUGUGUCCCAGGUGUCCCCAAGUCCCCCAGGUGUCCCCAGGUGUUCCCAGGUGUGUUUCAGGUGUCCCCAGCUGUCCCCAGGUGUCCCCAGGUGUCCUUAGGUGUGUCCCCAGGUGUGUUUCAGGUGUCCCCAGGUGUCCCCAGGUGUCCCCAGGUGUCCCCAGGUGUCCCAGGUGUGUCCCCAGGUGUCCCUUACGUCACAUCCCUGUCCCCAGGUGUGUCCCAGCUGUCCCCAGGUGUGUUUUUGGUGUCCCCAGGUGUCCCCAGGUGUCCCCAGGUGUCCCCAGGUGUCCCAGGUGUGUCCCAGGUGUCCCCAGGUGUGUCCCCAGGUGUCCCAGGUGUCCCCAGGUCCCCGCAGGUGUCCCCAGGUGUCCCCAGGUGUCCCCAGCUGUCCCCAGGUGUCCCCAGGGGUCCCCAG
This 1262-nucleotide long non-coding RNA is filed under the name Parus major (Great Tit). Its description in RNAcentral is "lncRNA (ENSPMJG00000001911.1)". Lineage: Eukaryota; Metazoa; Chordata; Aves; Passeriformes; Paridae. The record is from RNAcentral.